AGAAUGAACGUUGGCGGCGUGGAUUAGGCAUGCAAGUCGCACGGGCCGCAGGGCCAGUGGCGCAAGGGUGAGUAAGGCGACGGUAACCAACCCCAUGAUUGGGUAUAGCCGCGGGAAACUGCGGGUAAUCCCCAGCGAAGUCUUGGCGAGGCAUCUCGCGAGGACCAAAGUUCCGGCGUCGUGGGACGGGCCGUCGUGGUAUUAGCUUGUUGGCGGGGUAACGGCCCACCAAGGCUGCGAUGCCUACCGGGCGUGCGAGCGUGGCCCGGCACACUGGGACUGAGACACUGCCCAGACUCCUACGGGAGGCUGCAGUCGAGAAUCUUCGGCAAUGGGCGCAAGCCUGACCGAGCGACGCCGCGUGGAGGACGAAGGCCUUCGGGUUGUAAACUCCUGUCGAGGGGAGAGCGCCGCAAGGCGUUGACUGAUCCCUGGAGGAAGCGACGGGCUAAGUUCGCGCCAGCAGCCGC
This 470-nucleotide ribosomal RNA is filed under the name uncultured bacterium. RNAcentral's name for it is "SSU rRNA". It matches the Rfam family "Bacterial small subunit ribosomal RNA", at positions 26 to 518 of the family's 1533-position model. The record is from RNAcentral.